Molecule: ribosomal RNA, 465 nt
Filed under: uncultured bacterium
Lineage: Bacteria
Description: partial 16S ribosomal RNA
Rfam family: Bacterial small subunit ribosomal RNA
Source: RNAcentral
GAUGAACGCUGGCGGCGUGCUUAACACAUGCAAGUCGAACGGAAAGGCUCCUGCUUGCAGGGGUACUCGAGUGGCGAACGGGUGAGUAACACGUGGGUGAUCUGCCCUGCACUUCGGGAUAAGCCUGGGAAACUGGGUCUAAUACCGGAUAGGACCACAUUUUGGAUGGUGUGGUGGAAAGUUUUUCGGUGUGGGAUGAGCUCGCGGCCUAUCAGCUUGUUGGUGGGGUAAUGGCCUACCAAGGCGUCGACGGGUAGCCGGCCUGGGAGGGUGUACGGCCACAUUGGGACUACGGUACGGCCCAGACUCCUACGGGAGGCAGCGGUGGGGAAUAUUGCACAAUGGGCGCAAGCCUGAUGCAGCGACGCCGCGUGGGGGAUGACGGCCUUCGGGUUGUAAACUCCUUUCGCUAGGGACGAAGCGCAAGUGACGGUACCUGGAGAAGAAGCACCGGCUAACUACGUG